AUUGUACGCUGGCGGAAUGCUUUACACAUGCAAGUCGAACGGCAGCACGGGGGCAACCUUGGUGGCGAGUGGCGAACGGGUGAGUAAUAUAUCGGAACGUGCCCUAGAGUGGGGGAUAAUGUAGCGAAAGUUACGCUAAUACCGCAUACGAUCUACGGAUGAAAGUGGGGGACCGCAAGGCCUCAUGCUCGUGGAGCGGCCGAUAUCUGAUUAGCUAGUUGGUGGGGUAAAGGCCUACCAAGGCGACGAUCAGUAGCUGGUCUGAGAGGACGACCAGCCACACUGGGACUGAGACACGGCCCAGACUCCUAUGGGAGGCAGCAGUGGGGAAUUUUAGACAAUGGGGGCAACCCUGAUCCAGCAAUGCCGCGUGAGUGAAGAAGGCCUUCGGGUUGUAAAGCUCUUUUGUCAGGGAAGAAACGGUGAGGGCUAAUAUCCUUUGCUAAUGACGGUACCUGAAGAAUAAGCACCGGCUAACUACGUGCCAGCAGCCGCCGUAA
This 500-nucleotide ribosomal RNA is filed under the name uncultured bacterium. Its description in RNAcentral is "partial 16S ribosomal RNA". It matches the Rfam family "Bacterial small subunit ribosomal RNA", at positions 30 to 523 of the family's 1533-position model. The record is from RNAcentral.